Molecule: ribosomal RNA, 775 nt
Filed under: uncultured Neocallimastigales
Lineage: Eukaryota; Fungi; Neocallimastigomycota; Neocallimastigomycetes; Neocallimastigales
Description: partial large subunit ribosomal RNA
Rfam family: Eukaryotic large subunit ribosomal RNA
Source: RNAcentral
GUAGUCUCGCACAGAUGCAUAUCAAUAAGCGGAGGAAAAGAAACUAACAAGGAUUCCCCUAGUAACGGCGAGUGAAGCGGGAAGAGCUCAAAUUUGAAAUCUUAAAGGGUUUCCCUUUACGAAUUGUAGUUUAAAGAAGUGUUUUCUGUUGAGGUUUUGGUAAAAGUUCUUUGGAAUAGGACAUCAUAGAGGGUGAGAAUCCCGUAUUUGACCUUUACUUUCAACUUUGUGAUACACUUUCAAAGAGUCGGAUUGUUUGGGAAUGCAGUCCAAAAUGGGUGGUAAAUUUCAUCUAAAGCUAAAUAUUGGCGAGAGACCGAUAGCGAACAAGUACCGUGAGGGAAAGAUGAAAAGAACUUUGAAAAGAGAGUUAAACAGUACGUGAAAUUGUCAAAAGGGAAGCGUUUGACACCAGUGUUGUUUUUCUGAAAAUCAAUUAAAGAACUGUUUAUGCUAAGCUUGUUUAGACUUUAUCAGCUAACUGUUUAGUUUUGAGCUUUUCUUUAAUGCACUUUUCAGUUAACAAGUCAACAUCAAUUUCUUUUGCUGUAAAAAAGCUUGAGGAAGGUGGCUUGAGAUUCGUCUUAAGUGUUUAUAGCCUCUUGCCUAUGCAGUCGGAGAGAUUGAGGUCUGCAGCGUAGAUCCUUCGGGGCUAAAUGCAUUUGUGCUAAGUUAUAGCAUUUUAUAGACAACUUGUUGACUAUGAUUUGUCUUGUAGCUUACUCGCUUAUGUUAUUUUACCUACGCUUAGGAUGUUGAACUACUGAGACAUAGA